This 1697-nucleotide ribosomal RNA is filed under the name metagenome. RNAcentral's name for it is "bacterial LSU rRNA". It matches the Rfam family "Bacterial large subunit ribosomal RNA", at positions 832 to 2524 of the family's 2925-position model. The record is from RNAcentral.
AACAAAUCUGGAGAUAGCUGGUUCUCCCCGAAAACUAUUGAGGUAGUGCCUCGUGUAUGGCUCCAGGGGGUAGAGCACUGUUAUGGCUAGGGGGACAUGGCGUCUUACCAAACCAUGGCAAACUCCGAAUACUUGGAAGUCUGAGCACGGGAGACAGAGCACCGGGUGCUAACGUCCGGACUCAAAAGGGAAUCAACCCAGACCGCCAGCUAAGGUCCCUAAUAUCAGCUAAGUGGAAAACGAAGUGGAAAGGCUAAAACAGUCAGGAAGUUGGCUUAGAAGCAGCCAUCCUUCAAAGAAAGCGUAAUAGCUCACUGAUCGAGUCCUUCCGCGCGGAAGAUGUAACGGGGCUAAGUUGAUAACCGAAGCUGCGGAUUCAUACUUUAGGUAUGAGUGGUAGGGGAGCGUUCUGUAAGCCUGUGAAGGUGGAUCGUAAGGUCUGCUGGAGGUAUCAGAAGUGCGAAUGCUGACAUGAGUAACGAUAAAGCGGGUGAAAAGCCCGCUCGCCGCAAACCCAAGGUUUCCUGCUCUACGUUAAUCGGAGCAGGGUGAGUCGGUUCCUAAGGCCAGGCUGAGAAGCGUAGCUGAUGGAAAUCAGGUUAAUAUUCCUGAACCGGCGUUGAAUGCGAUGGGGUGACGGAGCAGCCAGAGUGGACCGGGUGUUGGAUGUCCCGGCUUCCGAGCGAUGGGUGCCUGCAGGUAAAUCCGCAGGCGUAUACCCAGGACGAAGGAUCGGGCCUUCUUUUGAAGGCGAAGCCACUGGAAGCGCUUCCAGGAAAAACCUCUAAGCUUCAGUUCAACGGCGACCGUACCGUAAACCGACACAGGUGGGUGAGCUGAAUAUGCUCAGGCGCUUGAGAGAACUCGGGAGAAGGAACUCGGCAAAUUGACACCGUAACUUCGGAAGAAGGUGUGCCUUUGUAGCUUGACGGGAGAGAAACCCGGAGGGCGAAGAGGUCUCAGAGAAUCGGUGGCUGUAACUGUUUACUAAAAACACAGCGCUCUGCAAAGAUGAAAGUCGACGUAUAGGGCGUGAUGCCUGCCCGGUGCUGGAAGAUUAAUUGAUGGGGUGCAAGCUCCUGAUCGAAGUCCCAGUAAACGGCGGCCGUAACUAUAACGGUCCUAAGGUAGCGAAAUUCCUUGUCGGGCAAGUUCCGACCUGCACGAAUGGCAUAAUAAUGGCCACACUGUCUCCUCCCGAGACUCAGUGAAAUUGAAAUGUUUGUGAUGAUGCAAUCUCCCCGCGGCUAGACGGAAAGACCCCAUGAACCUUAACUGUAGCUUUGCAUUGGACUUUGAACCGAUCUGUGUAGGAUAGGCGGGAGGCUUUGAAGAAUGGACGCCAGUUCAUUCGGAGCCGUCGUUGAAAUACCGCCCUGAUUUGUUUGAGGUUCUAACCUGGGCCAGUAAUCCUGGCUGGGGACCGUGCAUGGUGGGCAGUUUGACUGGGGCGGUCUCCUCCUAAAGGGUAACGGAGGAGUGCGAAGGUACGCUAAUCACGGUCGGAAAUCGUGAGGAUACUGCAAUGGGAAAAGCGUGCCUGACUGCGAGACAGACAAGUCGAGCAGAUGCGAAAGCAGGUCAUAGUGAUCCGGUGGCUUCUGUAUGGAAGGGCCAUCGCUCAACGGAUAAAAGGUACUCUGGGGAUAACAGGCUGAUACCGCCCAAGAGUUCAUAUCGACGGCGGUGUUUGGCAC